This 217-nucleotide unclassified non-coding RNA is filed under the name Zymoseptoria brevis. RNAcentral's name for it is "partial internal transcribed spacer region". The stretch from base 1 to 46 matches the Rfam family "Eukaryotic small subunit ribosomal RNA", at positions 1786 to 1831 of the family's 1831-position model. The record is from RNAcentral. Lineage: Eukaryota; Fungi; Ascomycota; Dothideomycetes; Mycosphaerellales; Mycosphaerellaceae.
AAGUCGUAACAAGGUCUCCGUAGGUGAACCUGCGGAGGGAUCAUUACCGAGCGAGGGCCUCCGGGUCCGACCUCCAACCCUUUGUGAACACAUCCCGUUGCUUCGGGGGCGACCCUGCCGGGCGCCCCCGGAGGACCACCAAAAAACACUGCAUCUCUGCGUCGGAGUUUACGAGUAAAUCGAAACAAAACUUUCAACAACGGAUCUCUUGGUUCUG